This 253-nucleotide ribosomal RNA is filed under the name uncultured bacterium. Its description in RNAcentral is "partial 16S ribosomal RNA". It matches the Rfam family "Bacterial small subunit ribosomal RNA", at positions 524 to 776 of the family's 1533-position model. The record is from RNAcentral.
UACGUAGGGGGCAAGCGUUGUCCGGAUUUAUUGGGCGUAAAGAGCGUGUAGGCGGUUUGGUAGGUCCGCUGUGAAAACUCGAGGCUCAACCUCGAGACGCCGGUGGAAACCAUCAGACUAGAGUCCGGAAGAGGAGAGUGGAAUUCCUGGUGUAGCGGUGCAAUGCGCAGAUAUCAGGAAGAACACCCGUGGCUAAGGCGGCUCUCUAGUACGGUACUGACGCUGAGACGCGAAAGCGUGGGGAGCGAACAGG